GGGGCUGUACCGGUUUCGACGUGGGUUCGGACGCGGUGUGGUGCAUGUCGAGCUUGAGUGACGCUCGUAAAUCUCCAUUCACAAAAGUAACUGCAAACGACGAACGUUUCGCACUCGCCGCCUAAACACCGGUGAGCCUUGCAACAGCACGCUGAUGGGCUGGGCAAGGGGGUAGCAAUACCUCCAGGCUGCAAGGGAAUUCACAUCAGCUGGCCGUUUGCCGGGCACCUUGGCACGCGGCGAGAUUCAAGGAUGCUGGCCUUGCAUGCAGCGUGCGUCUGCGCGGCAUGUCGGGCGAGACUCAAAACAGUACGCUAAACAUGUAGAUCUGCCCGAACAAGGCUUGCGGACGCGGGUUCAAUUCCCGCCAGCUCCACCA
Non-coding RNA from Comamonas sp. SCN 67-35, 379 nucleotides. Lineage: Bacteria; Pseudomonadati; Pseudomonadota; Betaproteobacteria; Burkholderiales; Comamonadaceae. The record is from Rfam.